GACGAACGCUGGCGGCGUGCCUAAUACAUGCAAGUAGAACGCUGAAGGAGGAGCUUGCUUCUCUGGAUGAGUUGCGAACGGGUGAGUAACGCGUAGGUAACCUGCCUGGUAGCGGGGGAUAACUAUUGGAAACGAUAGCUAAUACCGCAUAAUAGCAGUUAUUGCAUGAUAACUGUUUGAAAGGUGCAAUUGCACCACUACCAGAUGGACCUGCGUUGUAUUAGCUAGUUGGUGGGGUAACGGCUCACCAAGGCGACGAUACAUAGCCGACCUGAGAGGGUGAUCGGCCACACUGGGACUGAGACACGGCCCAGACUCCUACGGGAGGCAGCAGUAGGGAAUCUUCGGCAAUAGACGGAAGUCUGACCGAGCAACGCCGCGUGAGUGAAGAAGGUUUUCGGAUCGUAAAGCUCUGUUGUAAGAGAAGAACGAGUGUGAGAGUGGAAAGUUCACACUGUGACGGUAUCUUACCAGAAAGGGACGGCUAACUACGUG
This 495-nucleotide ribosomal RNA is filed under the name uncultured bacterium. RNAcentral describes it as "partial 16S ribosomal RNA". It matches the Rfam family "Bacterial small subunit ribosomal RNA", at positions 28 to 507 of the family's 1533-position model. The record is from RNAcentral.